Molecule: ribosomal RNA, 304 nt
Filed under: uncultured Glomeromycotina
Lineage: Eukaryota; Fungi; Glomeromycota
Description: LSU rRNA
Source: RNAcentral
UUGAAAGGGAAACGAUUGAAGUCAGUCAUGCCGGUGGGAAUCAACUUAGAGGAAACUCUGGGUGCACUUCUUCGUUUGGCAGGUCAGUGUCGAUUUUGAAUGUCAUAAAAUAAUGGGGGAAGGACUUCUUCGGGAGUGUUAUAGCCCUUGAGAUGUGAUGUUUGGGGUCGAGGAUUGCAACGGAUACCUUGGGGCUAACCGCCUGAUCUCUAAUUAGUGUUGGGUUACGGACAGCAUGCUAACCGUGUCUAAUUACUGGUUAAAAGGUUAGAGCGUGUAUAAAUUCGUUAAGGAUGUUGACGUA